CAGCGCCUGGGUUGACGGCGGCUCGACGUAGUCGGCACCGGAGCGGGCAGCCAUGGAGGCAGAUCUUGCGAGGCAGGGUGCGGCAGCCAUGGCGGCUGCGACGUCGACGCUCGAAUCGAUUCCAGCGGCGGCCGUCUACCAGUCCCACGACCCUCAGGUGAGGAGGGAAAAUGACUAAUGAUAUGAUGGGGGCCCUGCUUGUGAUAAGAAAACGGAGCUGAGAAGAAUAUUGAGAAUUGCAGAAAGUAGGAAUUGUGGUGUGAUAAAAGUUUAUUAUUAGUGUUUUAUUUGAUACUGGACAGUGAUCUUUGGAGUUGUUUAGGUGGUCAGUGUACAGAUCUAUUUGUAAGCGUACAAUGUCCAAUUCAAGCUGUUAUACUGGUUGAAUAAAGCAUAAAGCAUUA
Molecule: long non-coding RNA, 404 nt
Organism: Setaria italica (foxtail millet)
Lineage: Eukaryota; Viridiplantae; Streptophyta; Magnoliopsida; Poales; Poaceae
Exons: 3
Source: RefSeq, a predicted model, not a curated record